Molecule: ribosomal RNA, 253 nt
Filed under: uncultured bacterium
Lineage: Bacteria
Description: partial 16S ribosomal RNA
Rfam family: Bacterial small subunit ribosomal RNA
Source: RNAcentral
UACGGAGGGUGCGAGCGUUAUCCGGAUUCACUGGGUUUAAAGGGUGCGUAGGUGGGCAGGUAAGUCAGUGGUGAAAUCUCCGGGCUUAACCCGGAAACUGCCAUUGAUACUAUCAGUCUUGAAUACCGUGGAGGUAAGCGGAAUAUGUCAUGUAGCGGUGAAAUGCUUAGAUAUGACAUAGAACACCAAUUGCGAAGGCAGCUCACUACGGGAUUAUUGACACUGAGGCACGAAAGCGUGGGGAUCAAACAGG